RNAcentral lists this unclassified non-coding RNA (350 nucleotides) under soil metagenome. RNAcentral's name for it is "partial contains 5.8S ribosomal RNA, internal transcribed spacer 2, and large subunit ribosomal RNA". The stretch from base 1 to 120 matches the Rfam family "5.8S ribosomal RNA", at positions 35 to 154 of the family's 154-position model. The record is from RNAcentral.
GAUGAAGAACGUAGUGAAAUGCGAUAAGUAAUGUGAAUUGCAGAAUUCCGUGAAUCAUCGAAUCUUUGAACGCACAUUGCGCCCCCUGGCAUUCCGGGGGGCAUGCCUGUCCGAGCGUCAUUGCUGCCCUUCAAGCCCGGCUUGUGUGUUGGGUCGUCGUCCCCCCCGGGGGACGGGCCCGAAAGGUAGCGGCGGCACCGCGUCCGGUCCUCGAGCGUAUGGGGCUUUGUCACCCGCUCGAUUAGGGCCGGCCGGGCGCCAGCCGGCGUCUCCAACCUUCUAUUUUACCAGGUUGACCUCGGAUCAGGUAGGGAUACCCGCUGAACUUAAGCAUAUCAAUAAGCGGAGGA